Molecule: non-coding RNA, 26 nt
Filed under: Homo sapiens (human)
Lineage: Eukaryota; Metazoa; Chordata; Mammalia; Primates; Hominidae
Source: RNAcentral
UGGAUUGGGAAAGCUUACACAAUGCC